GUCGUAGGGCGCGAGCGUUGUCCGGAAUCAUUGGGCGUAAAGCGCGCGUAGGUGGCUUCGUAAGUCCGUUGUGAAAGUCAAAGGCUCAACCUUUGAAAGCCGAUGGAUACUGCGGAGCUAGAGUACGGAAGAGGCGAGUGGAAUUCCUGGUGUAGCGGUGGAAUGCGCAGAUAUCAGGAGGAACACCAAUAGCGAAGGCAGCUCGCUGGGACGUUACUGACACUGAGGCGCGAAAGCGUGGGGAGCGAACAGG
RNAcentral lists this ribosomal RNA (253 nucleotides) under uncultured bacterium. RNAcentral's name for it is "partial 16S ribosomal RNA". It matches the Rfam family "Bacterial small subunit ribosomal RNA", at positions 524 to 776 of the family's 1533-position model. The record is from RNAcentral.